GACGAACGCUGGCGGCGUGCUUAACACAUGCAAGUCGAACGGAAAGGCCCUGCUUUUGUGGGGUGCUCGAGUGGCGAACGGGUGAGUAACACGUGAGUAACCUGCCCUUGACUUUGGGAUAACUUCAGGAAACUGGGGCUAAUACCGGAUAGGAGCUCCUGCUGCAUGGUGGGGGUUGGAAAGUUUCGGCGGUUGGGGAUGGACUCGCGGCUUAUCAGCUUGUUGGUGGGGUAGUGGCUUACCAAGGCUUUGACGGGUAGCCGGCCUGAGAGGGUGACCGGCGACAUUAGGACUGAGAUACGGACCAGACUCCUACGGGAGGCAGCAGUGGGGAGUAUUGCACAACGGGCGGGAGUCUGAUGCAGCAACGCCGCGUGCGGGAUGACGGCCUUCGGGUUGUAAACCGCUUUCGCCUGUGACGAAGCGGGAGUGACGGUAAUGAGUAAAGAAGCACCGGCUAACUACGUG
RNAcentral lists this ribosomal RNA (468 nucleotides) under uncultured bacterium. RNAcentral describes it as "partial 16S ribosomal RNA". It matches the Rfam family "Bacterial small subunit ribosomal RNA", at positions 28 to 507 of the family's 1533-position model. The record is from RNAcentral.